Molecule: ribosomal RNA, 492 nt
Filed under: uncultured bacterium
Lineage: Bacteria
Description: partial 16S ribosomal RNA
Rfam family: Bacterial small subunit ribosomal RNA
Source: RNAcentral
AGUGAACGCUGGCGGUAGGCCUAACACAUGCAAGUCGAACGGCAGCACAGUAAGAGCUUGCUCUUACGGGUGGCGAGUGGCGGACGGGUGAGGAAUACAUCGGAAUCUACUUUUUCGUGGGGGAUAACGUAGGGAAACUUACGCUAAUACCGCAUACGACCUACGGGUGAAAGCAGGGGAUCUUCGGACCUUGCGCGAUUGAAUGAGCCGAUGUCGGAUUAGCUAGUUGGCGGGGUAAAGGCCCACCAAGGCGACGAUCCGUAGCUGGUCUGAGAGGAUGAUCAGCCACACUGGAACUGAGACACUGUCCAGACUCCUACGGGAGGCAGCAGUGGGGAAUAUUGGACAAUGGGCGCAAGCCUGAUCCAGCCAUACCGCGUGGGUGAAGAAGGCCUUCGGGUUGUAAAGCCCUUUUGUUGAGAAAGAAAAGCAGCAGGUUAAUACCCCGCUGUUCUGACGGUACCCAAAGAAUAAGCACCGGCUAACUUCGUG